UAUAAGAUCAGAAAUACUUAGUUGCU
Molecule: non-coding RNA, 26 nt
Filed under: Mus musculus (house mouse)
Lineage: Eukaryota; Metazoa; Chordata; Mammalia; Rodentia; Muridae
Source: RNAcentral